GUGGGGAAUAUUGGACAAUGGGCGAAAGCCUGAUCCAGCCAUGCCGCGUGUGUGAAGAAGGUCUUCGGAUUGUAAUGCACUUUAAGUUGGGAGAAAGGGCAGUAAGAUAAUACCUUGCUGUUUUGACGUUACCGACAGAAUAAGCACCGGCUAACUUCGUGCCAGCAGCCGCGGUAAUACGAAGGGUGCAAGCGUUAAUCGGAAUUACUGGGCGUAAAGCGCGCGUAGGUGGUUUUGUAAGUUGGAGGUGAAAUCCCCGGGCUCAACCUGGGAACUGCCUCCAAAACUGCAUGACUAGAGUACGGUAGAGGGUAGUGGAAUUUCCUGUGUAGCGGUGAAAUGCGUAGAUAUAGGAAGGAACACCAGUGGCGAAGGCGACUACCUGGACUGAUACUGACACUGAGGUGCGAAAGCGUGGGGAGCAAACAGGAUUAGAUACCCGGGUAGUCC
This 450-nucleotide ribosomal RNA is filed under the name uncultured bacterium. RNAcentral's name for it is "partial 16S ribosomal RNA". It matches the Rfam family "Bacterial small subunit ribosomal RNA", at positions 354 to 796 of the family's 1533-position model. The record is from RNAcentral.